Molecule: ribosomal RNA, 497 nt
Filed under: uncultured bacterium
Lineage: Bacteria
Description: partial 16S ribosomal RNA
Rfam family: Bacterial small subunit ribosomal RNA
Source: RNAcentral
GAUGAACGCUGGCGGCGUGCCUAAUACAUGCAAGUAGAACGCUGAAGGCAUGAGCUUGCUCUUUCCUGAUGAGUUGCGAACGGGUGAGUAACGCGUAGGUCAUCUGCCUGGUAGCGGGGGAUAACUAUUGGAAACGGUAUCUAAUACCGCAUAACAGUAGGUUUUGCAUGAUGUCUACUUAAAAUUCGCAGUUGCACCACUGCCACAUGGCCUUUCGUUUUAUUAGCUAGGUGGUGAGGUAACGGCUCUUCAAGGCGACGUUACAUAGUCGCCAUGAGAGGGUGGUCGGCCGGACUGGGAGGGAGACAGGGCCCAGAGGGCUACGGGAGGCAGCAGGACGGAAUCGUGGGCAAUGGAUGGAAGUCAGAGCGAGAAACGCCGAGUGAGGGAAGAAGGUUGUCGGGUCGGAGAGCUCGGUUGUAAGAGAAGAACGCGGGUGAGACUGGAAAGAUGACAGUGUGACGGUAACUGACAAGAAAGCGACGGCUAACUACGUG